CUGCCUGCCUGCUCAAGAUUGGAAGAGGAGAUGGAAUAAAUUGAGACUGCAGGACAAAGAGAAGCGUCUGAAACUAGAAGACGAUUCUGAGGAAAGCGAUGCCGAGUUCGAUGAAGGUUUUAAAGUGCCGGGCUUUCUGUUCAAAAAGCUUUUCAAGUACCAGCAGACAGGUGUUAGGUGGCUGUGGGAAUUGCACUGCCAGCAGGCAGGAGGAAUUCUGGGAGACGAAAUGGGAUUGGGCAAGACCAUCCAGAUAAUUGCCUUCUUGGCAGGUCUGAGCUACAGCAAGAUCAGGACUCGCGGUUCAAAUUACAGGCAAGUGCUCCUCUGCAGACUGUCAGUCUGUGGAGCUCAAUUAAUAUUUCAUCAGAUGUAUUGCUGUGGAGGAGGGUCUUGUGAAUUAUUGAUGACAUUUCAAUUACAAUAUUCCUUUAAUUCUUUUAGUGGGGGAC
Long non-coding RNA from Lemur catta (Ring-tailed lemur), 452 nucleotides. RefSeq lists it as uncharacterized. NCBI's taxonomy places the organism in Eukaryota, Metazoa, Chordata, Mammalia, Primates, Lemuridae. The transcript has 3 exons. The record is from RefSeq and is a predicted model, not a curated record.